Molecule: ribosomal RNA, 437 nt
Filed under: uncultured bacterium
Lineage: Bacteria
Description: bacterial SSU rRNA
Rfam family: Bacterial small subunit ribosomal RNA
Source: RNAcentral
ACGAACGCUGGCGGCGUGCCUAACACAUGCAAGUCGAGCGCGAAUGGAGCAAUCCUAGUAGCGCGGCGCACGGGUGCGUAACACGUGGGUAAUCUGCCUGGGAGACCGGAAUAACCUGCCGAAAGGCUGGCUAAUACCGGAUAAGCCCACGGACUCUUCGGAGUCUGAGGGAAAAGGUGGCCUCUGUAUACAAGCUAUCACUUCCAGAUGAGCCCGCGGCCCAUCAGCUCGUUGGCGGGGUAAAGGCCCACCAAGGCAACGACGGGUAGCUGGUCUGAGAGGACGAUCAGCCACACUGGAACUGAGACACGGUCCAGACUCCUACGGGAGGCAGCAGUGGGGAAUUUUGCACAAUGGGCGAAAGCCUGAUGCAGCAACGCCGCGUGUGUGAUGAAGGUCUUCGGAUCGUAAAGCACUUUCGACCGGACGAACCCGUU